AUGAAAGAAUCUACAUCCAAAAAUGUGAGCAAAUUCUAUAUCCAAAAAUAAUUUUCCAGGAUCUCCCUCAUGUUUAUUUUUUAUUCUUAACAGUAAUUGUGAGCAAAUUCGUCAAAUUUGUACAUGCUUCUAUAUCCUUAUUAAAUAUUGUGUACACCUUGAAAAUCAGGAAACAUAAUCCAGUAUGACAAUAAGGAACAAACGAAUGAAAGCAACCAUGCUUGUAUCCCAUUGU
RNAcentral lists this unclassified non-coding RNA (235 nucleotides) under Hevea brasiliensis (rubber tree). Lineage: Eukaryota; Viridiplantae; Streptophyta; Magnoliopsida; Malpighiales; Euphorbiaceae. The record is from RNAcentral.